This 270-nucleotide ribosomal RNA is filed under the name uncultured archaeon. RNAcentral's name for it is "partial 16S ribosomal RNA". It matches the Rfam family "Archaeal small subunit ribosomal RNA", at positions 477 to 747 of the family's 1478-position model. The record is from RNAcentral.
CAGCACCUCAAGUGGUCAGGAUGAUUAUUGGGCCUAAAGCAUCCGUAGCCGGCUCUGUAAGUUUUCGGUUAAAUCUGUACGCUCAACGUACAGGCUGCCGGGAAUACUGCAGAGCUAGGGAGUGGGAGAGGUAGACGGUACUCGGUAGGAAGGGGUAAAAUCCUUUGAUCUAUUGAUGACCACCUGUGGCGAAGGCGGUCUACCAGAACACGUCCGACGGUGAGGGAUGAAAGCCAGGGGAGCAAAACGGAUUAGAUACCCGAGUAGUCC